GAUGAACGCUGGCGGCGUGCUUAACACAUGCAAGUCGAACGGGAAACAUUUCAUUGAGGCUUCGGCGGAUUUGAUCUGUUUCUAGUGGCGGACGGGUGAGUAACGCGUGGGUAACCUGCCUUAUACUGGGGGAUAACAGCCAGAAAUGACCGCUAAUACCGCAUAAGCGCACAGAACCGCAUGGUUCGGUGUGAAAAACUCCGGUGGUAUAAGAUGGACCCGCGUUGGAUUAGCUAGUUGGCAGGGCAGCGGCCUACCAAGGCAACGAUCCAUAGCCGGCCUGAGAGGGUGAACGGCCACAUUGGGACUGAGACACGGCCCAGACUCCUACGGGAGGCAGCAGUGGGGAAUAUUGCACAAUGGGGGAAACCCUGAUGCAGCGACGCCGCGUGAAGGAAGAAGUAUCUCGGUAUGUAAACUUCUAUCAGCAGGGAAGAUAAUGACGGUACCUGACUAAGAAGCCCCGGCUAACUACGUGCCAGCAGCCGCGGUAAUACGUAGGGGGCAAGCGUUAUCCGGAUUUACUGGGUGUAAAGGGAGCGUAGACGGCGCAGCAAGUCUGAUGUGAAAGGCAGGGGCUUAACCCCUGGACUGCAUUGGAAACUGCUGUGCUUGAGUGCCGGAGGGGUAAGCGGAAUUCCUAGUGUAGCGGUGAAAUGCAUAGAUAUUAGGAGGAACACCAGUGGCGAAGGCGG
Molecule: ribosomal RNA, 695 nt
Filed under: uncultured Lachnospiraceae bacterium
Lineage: Bacteria; Bacillati; Bacillota; Clostridia; Lachnospirales; Lachnospiraceae
Description: bacterial SSU rRNA
Rfam family: Bacterial small subunit ribosomal RNA
Source: RNAcentral